AAGUCGUAACAAGGUUUCCGUAGGUGAACCUGCGGAAGGAUCAUUAUCAAUUUAACAGUUCGUGGGAUAGACGCUCGUAAGGCUACCCUUCCCACGCUGUUUCAACCCUUUGUCUUUUGCGUACUGUAUGUUUCCUCGGCGGGUUCGCCCGCCGAUAGGACACUUCAAAACCUUUUGUAAUUGCAAUCAGCGUCAGAAAAACUAUAAUAGUUACAACUUUCAACAACGGAUCUCUUGGUUCUG
This 243-nucleotide unclassified non-coding RNA is filed under the name air metagenome. Its description in RNAcentral is "partial contains small subunit ribosomal RNA, internal transcribed spacer 1, and 5.8S ribosomal RNA". The stretch from base 1 to 46 matches the Rfam family "Eukaryotic small subunit ribosomal RNA", at positions 1786 to 1831 of the family's 1831-position model. The record is from RNAcentral.